CUUACCCUUAGGACUGGGAUAACUCUGGGAAACUGGGGAUAAUACUGGAUAUUAGGCUAUGCCUGGAAUGGUUUGCCUUUGAAAUGUUUUUUUUCGCCUAAGGAUAGGUCUGCGGCUGAUUAGGUCGUUGGUGGGGUAAUGGCCCACCAAGCCGAUGAUCGGUACGGGUUGUGAGAGCAAGGGCCCGGAGAUGGAACCUGAGACAAGGUUCCAGACCCUACGGGGUGCAGCAGGCGCGAAACCUCCGCAAUGUACGAAAGUGCGACGGGGGGAUCCCAAGUGUUAUGCUUUUUUGUAUGACUUUUCAUUAGUGUAAAAAGCUUUUAGAAUAAGAGCUGGGCAAGACCGGUGCCAGCCGCCGCGGUAACACCGGCAGCUCGAGUGGUAGCUGUUUUUAUUGGGCCUAAAGCGUUCGUAGCCGGUUUGAUAAGUCUU
Molecule: ribosomal RNA, 435 nt
Filed under: uncultured archaeon
Lineage: Archaea
Description: partial 16S ribosomal RNA
Rfam family: Archaeal small subunit ribosomal RNA
Source: RNAcentral